AUGUAUCACUGUGCCGGUCCCGCGGUGAAGCCCUCCGUGUCUCUGCUCCCUCCCUCCUCUCUGCAGCUGUCUGAGGGAUCGGCCUCGCUGCUCUGCCUGCUGUCUGCCUACUCUCCACAGGGGGCGCUGGUGAGCUGGACAGUGGACGGCUCCCAGGUGAAGGACGGGGUUCUGACCAGCGCAGAAGAACAGAAGAAGGACGGUUACACACGCAGCAGCACCCUGACCCUCAGCAAAGCACUCUGGGAAAAGGGGGAGGAGUUUGUCUGUACGGUCUCCCAUGCCGGCGUCAAUCAUCCGGUCACGUUCAGAAAGAGCCAGUGUGAAGCCUAA
Non-coding RNA from Pangasianodon hypophthalmus (striped catfish), 333 nucleotides. NCBI's taxonomy places the organism in Eukaryota, Metazoa, Chordata, Actinopteri, Siluriformes, Pangasiidae. The record is from the annotation of a RefSeq genome assembly.